AUACGUAGGGUGCGAGCGUUGUCCGGAAUUACUGGGCGUAAAGAGCUCGUAGGUGGUUUGUCGCGUCGUCUGUGAAAUUCCGGGGCUUAACUCCGGGCGUGCAGGCGAUACGGGCAUAACUUGAGUACUGUAGGGGAGACUGGAAUUCCUGGUGUAGCGGUGAAAUGCGCAGAUAUCAGGAGGAACACCGGUGGCGAAGGCGGGUCUCUGGGCAGUAACUGGCGCUGAGGAGCGAAAGCAUGGGUAGCGAACAGGAUUAGAGACCCUGGUAGUCCAUGCCGUAAACGGUGGGCGCUAGGUGUAGGGGUCUUCCACGACUUCUGUGCCGUAGCUAACGCAUUAAGCGCCCCGCCUGGGGAGUACGGCCGCAAGGCUAAAACUCAAAUGAAUUGACGGGG
RNAcentral lists this ribosomal RNA (398 nucleotides) under uncultured bacterium. RNAcentral's name for it is "partial 16S ribosomal RNA". It matches the Rfam family "Bacterial small subunit ribosomal RNA", at positions 523 to 918 of the family's 1533-position model. The record is from RNAcentral.